This 473-nucleotide ribosomal RNA is filed under the name uncultured bacterium. Its description in RNAcentral is "bacterial SSU rRNA". It matches the Rfam family "Bacterial small subunit ribosomal RNA", at positions 355 to 825 of the family's 1533-position model. The record is from RNAcentral.
UGGGGAAUAUUGGACAAUGGGGGCAACCCUGAUCCAGCGAUGCCGCGUGUGUGAAGAAGGCCUGCGGGUUGUAAAGCACUUUAGUUGGGGAGGAAAGGUAUGUACUGCAUAAGUGCAUGCUGUGACGUUACCCAAAGAAUAAGCACCGGCAAACUCUGUGCCAGCAGCCGCGGUAAUACGAAGGGGGACUAGCGUUGUUCGGAAUCACUGGGCGUAAAGCGCACGUAGGCGGAUUUGUAAGUCAGGGGUGAAAUCCCGGGGCUCAACCUCGGAACUGCCUUUGAUACUGCGGAUCUCGAGUCCGAUAGAGGUGAGUGGAAUUCCUAGUGUAGAGGUGAAAUUCGUAGAUAUUAGGAAGAACACCGGUGGCGAAGGCGGCUCACUGGAUCGGUACUGACGCUGAGGUGCGAAAGCAUGGGGAGCGAACAGGAUUAGAUACCCCGGUAGUCCCUGAGCGGGCUGGCAAGGCGCAU